AGAGUUUGAUCCUGGCUCAGGACGAACGUUGGCGGCGUGCCUUACACAUGCAAGUCGUACGCGAAAGGGGAAACCAGCUUGCUGGGGACCCCCGGUAGAGUGGCGAGCGGGAGCGUAACACGUGAGGAACCUGCCUCGGAGUGGGGAAUAACCCAGAGAAAUCUGGGCUAACUCCGCAUGAUGCAGCGGCCCCGCAUGGGGACAGUUGUUAAAGACCGCCUCUGCUUGCAAGCGGUCGCUUCGAGAUGGCCUCGCGGCCUAUCAGCUAGUUGGCGGGGUAAUGGCCCACCAAGGCGACGACGGGUAGCCGGCCUGAGAGGGUGUCCGGCCUCAUUGGGACUGAGACACGGCCCAGACUCCUACGGGAGGCAGCAGUGAGGAAUCUUGCGCAAUGGGCGAAAGCCUGACGCAGCGACGCCGCGUGAGGGAUGAAGGCCUUCGGGUUGUAAACCUCUGUCAGGGGGGAAGAACCCGGAGUCGGUGAAUAACCGGCUCCGCUGACGGUACCCCCAGAGGAAGCACCGGCUAACUCCGUGCCAGCAGCCGCGGUAAGACGGAGGGUGCAAACGUUGUUCGGAAUCACUGGGCGUAAAGGGCGCGUAGGCGGACUUGUAAGUCGGGAGUGAAAACUCGGGGCUCAACCCCGAGCCUGCUUCUGAAACUGCGAGUCUUGAGGACCGGAGAGGAAAGUGGAAUUCCUAGUGUAGCGGUGGAAUGCGUAGAUAUUAGGAAGAACACCAGUGGCGAAAGCGACUUUCUGGACGGUUCCUGACGCUGAGGCGCGAAAGCUAGGGGAGCAAACAGGAUUAGAUACCCUGGUAGUCCUAGCCGUAAACGAUG
This 840-nucleotide ribosomal RNA is filed under the name uncultured bacterium. Its description in RNAcentral is "bacterial SSU rRNA". It matches the Rfam family "Bacterial small subunit ribosomal RNA", at positions 8 to 811 of the family's 1533-position model. The record is from RNAcentral.